UAUGGCCACAUCACACAUUGAAACACCAGCUCCUAUAUGAUCACUGAAGUUAAGCAAUGUCAAGCCUGGCCAUUACUUAGAAGGGUGACCUACUUGGGAAUACCUGGUACUGCAAG
Non-coding RNA from Acanthosepion pharaonis, 116 nucleotides. NCBI's taxonomy places the organism in Eukaryota, Metazoa, Mollusca, Cephalopoda, Sepiida, Sepiidae. The record is from the annotation of a GenBank genome assembly.